Molecule: long non-coding RNA, 392 nt
Filed under: Chinchilla lanigera (long-tailed chinchilla)
Lineage: Eukaryota; Metazoa; Chordata; Mammalia; Rodentia; Chinchillidae
Description: lncRNA (ENSCLAG00000023413.1)
Source: RNAcentral
GUCCCCUUUACCGGUGCACGUGCAUCUGUGCGAGCCUGCGGCAGGACUCCCGGUUGCUGUGCUUUCGGCAGCAAGGGCGCAAUUGGCCCAGGAGUCCUGGUGGGAGAAGGCAGCAGCCAGAGCACACCACUUCAGUACCUUACCAGCCUCACCACUCCCUUCCUAGGACAGUCUCUGCACUGUGCCUUACUUUGGAGUUCCUGAGCCUGGAGCAGCAUGGUAUCCAGAGAGUGGCAGUUUGCACUGGGCGACGAACACAAAUGUGGCCAUCUUUCCAGAAUUGUGGAUUCAGUUCGUGCACCGGAGUACCACUGCACUGGCACUGGUGAGUAUUCUUCAGUCUCUCCUGUGUAGUUUCCCUGUUUCCCCCCAGUACUGGUGUUUAACCCCAG